UUGAGCCUGGUGUGCGAUCGAGAGAAGGGUCAGGGAACUCUUUCCCUCUCAUAAACCCUAAGUCACUAAAAUUCCAUCAAUUAAAGGUGAAAUUAGCAAGGAAUCGAAUGCAUGAGCUAGGAAUUUUGAUGUACUAAGUGUUCUUAACCCCAAGAUAUGCGUCGUAUUAGCAAGGGAUCAAGCAUGGAAAGCUAACGGGUCAAGAGGAGACAAGGAAGUGAAUGCGAAAACGGACGCUCAAGGUAAGUGAUUCCGUAAUCACUUCUUAGUUUGUUUAAGUAAUGUAGCGUUUUAAUUAAUUAAACAUGAUGUUUAAUGUCAAAUAUGGAUUUAGUUGAAUGAAAUUGGUGAUUUUUUCUAAGUAGACCAAACGGGUCAAAAUGAGGUCUUAUGAUUAUAUCGAAAAGUUGUAUAAGAAAUGGCUACGGUAGUAUAAACGGUUAAUGGGUAAAAUUGCACAUAAGUACGCAAUCCGGGAAUCGGAGAUGUGGUUUAAUAGUCAAAAGACUCAGAUGUGAGUUGGUUUAAUAGAUAUAUAUUUGCGCAAGUGGAGGUUUUAGUAGCAAGUUUGAUACGUAGGUUUAAAUGGAGUGAAUGAAUUUAAUGAAUACCGGGUAUCGGUUGCGUAAACCCCAAGUACGAAACUCUAGAUAAUAUAAGAGUAUUAUGGAUAUAAUGUUCAUGUAUGUUUUGGGUUAAAACAAAGGAGUGGUUUGAUGAAAACAUAAACGGGUCAAAUAAUUAGAAAAUGAUUAUUAAGCCGAUAGCGUGUAAGUUAAGAAUUUCCUUAAUCCGGAUAUGGGAUUUUAAGUUCAUAUGAUAGAAUGUGAAUUUACAAGCAUGUAGGAAGAAACGUGAGGUUAAACGGACAAUCGGGUUAAAAGUUAUGCGAGUUUUAGUGGGCGUUUUGUAUCUGCACCCGGAGUAUGGAACGCCGGGUUUGGGAGUAUGGAACGCCGGGCAGAAACCCAAACGCCCAUGCUUCACUGUCAAACGCUGGUUCUAUGUUAAAGUGAACGCAGGGGUGUUCCAAACAAGCCUAGAUCACUUUCCUUGGGUUCCUUUGAUGUGUGUAAAGCUCCAUGUGAUAGGUUUAUGAUCCGGAAUCAUCACGCAAUCUUCCACCACUACCUACAUGUAAAAAUGCAUCAAAGUAACAUGUCUCGAUACAAAUUCGAUGCUAAAACAUGUAAAUAUUAACCACUUAGGCGUACCAAAAACAUAUGCAUCAGGUAUGUACGUAUGUAUGUAUGUAUAUAUAUGAUUGUAUGUAGAUAUGUAGGUGCGUAUGAUCAGACGUAUGAAUAUAUGAAUGCACGAAGUAGGAUUUAUCGCCUAUGAAAAGAAUGGGACAGGUAUGCAUGUAUACAUGGUUUCAAUACGUUUGAGUAUGGACGUUACUAAUGAUGUGCUUGAGAUUGGAAUGUAAUGCAGGAAUGAGAACGUCAAACUCUUGUAGAAUUGAAGCCGAACCUUGAAGCCGAACUCGGAACAAAGGAAUCCGAGAGGAUAGUCGAAUGAAUCAAAGUUUAUGUAGUUGAAUGUUGUAUGAUUUUUAAUUUGUAUCAGAUUAUUGUUGUAUGACGUUGUCAAUGACUAAUGGUUAAGUUGUAUGUGGUGUCCACAGGUACUACACGGAUUUCUUCUACCACUAUCGAAGAUAAGCGGGCAUAGAUCGAGUCGAAUAACAAGGGUUGUACGGAAAGAACGGUUACGUAGUCUUAAUUUUGUAAAGCAUUAAUUUGUAAAAAGGGAAGUGAAUUUUGUAAGCUUCUUCUUGAAUGUGUGUAUUGUUAUAAGAUCGUAAAGAAAUUUUAAAGCUAUUUUUCCGCUGCGUUAUCUUUAAGUUCUUACACGACGAUCUUACAGGGAAUUGUUCUUAUUAUGAACGGGUCAUGCCCAAAUUUUUCUUAAAUAAUAGUAUGGUAAUAUUACUUUUCGGACUAAGAAAUAUGGGCGUUACAGGUGGUUGCAUUGGGUUUGGUGGCGGAGCAUCACUUACUGGAGGUGGAGGUCCACGGUGGUCGACGAUGACGGCGCGGUGAUGAUGAUCAACAAAAGUGAUAGGUGUGUUGUAGUGGUGGAGAUGGUGUGCCGAAACAGGGGGCCCUAUCGUCCGCCGCCGCGCCACCGUAACAGUGGUGGCCGACCCCCGUCUGUCGUCUGAUGAUGGUUGUGUUCUUUUUGAUGAUGGUUUUUCACUUGAUUUUGUGUUAAAGAUAGUUGAAAUACCUUCUGUGUGAGAUGGGUUUUCUUGAUUUAUGUUAAAGAUGGUGGGAACACCUACUGUGAUGAGAUGUAGAUAUACCUUCUGUGAUGAGAUGGGUUUUUUUUUGUGACGAGAUGGGUUUUUCUUGAACGAAGAUUUCCGGUCAGUUGGGUGUUUUUUGAAUGAUGCAGGUUGUUUGAAUGAUGCAUUUUGUAUUCUUUGAUUCUGUGGGUUUUGAUAUGUUAGACAGGGUGGCGAUGAUGCAAAAAAAAAAAAAUCGUAGAUUUUAAUGACGAUGGCGCGACAAGGAUGGUGGAGGGAAGGUUUUUGAACAUGCAACCCCACUUUGCAGCCUUUUGAUUAUCGGGAAAGCUGAGCCAAACCCCGUUUUUUAUUCG
This is a long non-coding RNA of Helianthus annuus (common sunflower), 2607 nucleotides long. RefSeq lists it as uncharacterized. NCBI's taxonomy places the organism in Eukaryota, Viridiplantae, Streptophyta, Magnoliopsida, Asterales, Asteraceae. The record is from RefSeq and is a predicted model, not a curated record. The transcript has 3 exons.